CACGGGGAGGUAGUGACGAAAAAUAACGAUACGGGACUCAUCCGAGGCCCCGUAAUCGGAAUGAGUACACUAUAAAUCCUUUUGCAAGGAACMAUUGGAGGGCAAGUCUAGUGCCAGCAGCCGCGGUAAUUCUAGCUCCAAUAGCGUAUAUUAAAGUUGUUGCGGUUAAAAAGCUCGUAGUCGAAUCUGUGUGUCGUGCCGCCGGUACACCGCUCGCGGUGGUUAACUGGCGUGCCACGGCACGUCCUGCCGGUGGGCUCUUCGGACUGACUUCGGUCGCCCGAUGCCCUAGUUCGUAGCCGUUCAAUGCGGUUGCGGAUCCCAUCGCGGUGCUCUUUAUUGAGUGUCUUGGUGGGCCGGCACGUUUACUUUGAACAAAUUAGAGUGCUUAAAGCAGGCCAAUUUUGCCUGAAUAUUCUGUGCAUGGAAUAAUUGAAUAGGACCUCGGUUCUAUUUUGUUGGUUUUCUGAACCCCGAGGUAAUGAUUAAAAGGAACGGAUGGGGGCAUUCGUAUUGCGAGGUUAGAGGUGAAAUUCUUGGAUCCUCGCAAGACGGACUAAAGCGAAAGCAUUUGCCAAAAACGUUUUCAUUGAUCAAGAACGAAAGUUAGAGGUUCGAAGGCGAUCAGAUACCGCCCUAGUUCUAACCAUAAACAAUGCCAACUAGCGAUCCGCCGUUGUUCCUCCGAUGACACGGCGGGCAGCUUCCGGGAAACCAAAGUUUUUGGGUUCCGGGGGAAGUAUGGUUGCAAAGCUGAAACUUAAAGGAAUUGACGGAAGGGCACCACAAGGAGUGGAGCCUGCGGCUUAAUUUGACUCAACACGGGAAAUCUCACCAGGCCC
This 842-nucleotide ribosomal RNA is filed under the name Dinarda hagensii. Its description in RNAcentral is "bacterial SSU rRNA". It matches the Rfam family "Eukaryotic small subunit ribosomal RNA", at positions 457 to 1236 of the family's 1831-position model. Lineage: Eukaryota; Metazoa; Arthropoda; Insecta; Coleoptera; Staphylinidae. The record is from RNAcentral.